RNAcentral lists this ribosomal RNA (549 nucleotides) under Fimetariella rabenhorstii. RNAcentral's name for it is "eukaryotic LSU rRNA". The stretch from base 190 to 343 matches the Rfam family "5.8S ribosomal RNA". Lineage: Eukaryota; Fungi; Ascomycota; Sordariomycetes; Sordariales; Lasiosphaeriaceae. The record is from RNAcentral.
GUUGGUGACGCGGAGGGACAUUACAGAGUUCUAAAAGACUCCCAAAACCAUUGUGAACGUACCCGUCAGCGUUGCCUCGGCGGGCGGCCCCUCCCUGGGGCCGCUGCCUCCCUCGGGGGGUGCCCGCCGGCGUACCAAAACUCUUUUGUAUUUUAGUGGCCUCUCUGAGAAAACAAGCAAAUAAGUUAAAACUUUCAACAACGGAUCUCUUGGUUCUGGCAUCGAUGAAGAACGCAGCGAAAUGCGAUAAGUAAUGUGAAUUGCAGAAUUCAGUGAAUCAUCGAAUCUUUGAACGCACAUUGCGCCCGCCAGUACUCUGGCGGGCAUGCCUGUUCGAGCGUCAUUUCAACCCUCAAGCCCUGCUUGGUGUUGGGGUCCUACGGCUGCCGUAGGCCCUGAAAGCUAGUGGCGGGCUCGCUAUAACUCCGAGCGUAGUAGUAAAAUAUCUCGCUAGGGAGGUGUCGCGGGUUCCGGCCGUGAAAGCCCAUCUUUUACACAAGGUUGACCUCGGAUCAGGUAGGAAUACCCGCUGAACUUAAGCAUAUCAAA